AGCGAACGCUGGCGGCAGGCCUAACACAUGCAAGUCGAACGAACUCUUCGGAGUUAGUGGCGGACGGGUGAGUAACACGUGGGAACGUGCCUUUUGGUUCGGAAUAACUCAGGGAAACUUGUGCUAAUACCGAAUGUGCCCUUCGGGGGAAAGAUUUAUCGCCAUUAGAGCGGCCCGCGUCUGAUUAGCUAGUUGGUGAGGUAACGGCUCACCAAGGCGACGAUCAGUAGCUGGUCUGAGAGGAUGACCAGCCACACUGGGACUGAGACACGGCCCAGACUCCUACGGGAGGCAGCAGUGGGGAAUCUUGCGCAAUGGGCGAAAGCCUGACGCAGCCAUGCCGCGUGAAUGAUGAAGGUCUUAGGAUUGUAAAACUCUUUCACCGGGGACGAUAAUGACGGUACCCGGAGAAGAAGCCCCGGCUAACUUCGUG
This 433-nucleotide ribosomal RNA is filed under the name uncultured bacterium. RNAcentral's name for it is "partial 16S ribosomal RNA". It matches the Rfam family "Bacterial small subunit ribosomal RNA", at positions 29 to 507 of the family's 1533-position model. The record is from RNAcentral.